This 198-nucleotide ribosomal RNA is filed under the name uncultured bacterium. RNAcentral's name for it is "partial 16S ribosomal RNA". It matches the Rfam family "Bacterial small subunit ribosomal RNA", at positions 328 to 539 of the family's 1533-position model. The record is from RNAcentral.
ACGCUCGACACCUACGGGAGGCAGCGGUGGGGAAUAUUGCACAAUGGGGGAAACCCGUGAUGCAGCGACGCCGCGUGGAGGAAGAAGGUCUUCGGAUUGUAAACUCCUGUUGUUGGGGAAAAAGAGGAUGGUACCCAACAAGGAAGUGACGGCUAACUACGUGCCACAGCCGCGGUAAUCUGAGCGGGCUGGCAAGGC